This 429-nucleotide ribosomal RNA is filed under the name Chloroflexota bacterium. RNAcentral describes it as "Chloroflexi bacterium partial 16S ribosomal RNA". It matches the Rfam family "Bacterial small subunit ribosomal RNA", at positions 355 to 776 of the family's 1533-position model. Lineage: Bacteria; Bacillati; Chloroflexota. The record is from RNAcentral.
UGGGGAAUUUUGCACAAUGGGCGCAAGCCUGAUGCAGCCAUGCCGCGUGUGUGAAGAAGGCCUUCGGGUUGUAAAGCACUUUCAGCGGGGAGGAAGGCGAUAAGGCUAAUAACCUUGUCGAUUGACGUUACCCGCAGAAGAAGCACCGGCUAACUCCGUGCCAGCAGCCGCGGUAAUACGGAGGGUGCAAGCGUUAAUCGGAAUUACUGGGCGUAAAGCGCACGCAGGCGGUCUGUCAAGUCGGAUGUGAAAUCCCCGGGCUUAACCUGGGAACUGCAUUCGAAACUGGGAGGCUAGAGUCUUGUAGAGGGGGGUAGAAUUCCAGGUGUAGCGGUGAAAUGCGUAGAGAUCUGGAGGAAUACCGGUGGCGAAGGCGGCCCCCUGGACAAAGACUGACGCUCAGGUGCGAAAGCGUGGGGAGCAAACAGG